Molecule: long non-coding RNA, 307 nt
Filed under: Elaeis guineensis (African oil palm)
Lineage: Eukaryota; Viridiplantae; Streptophyta; Magnoliopsida; Arecales; Arecaceae
Description: long non-coding RNA (EGUI_LNC028496)
Source: RNAcentral
UGGGUUAAGUGAACCAACACACUAACCAAAACCGGUUGGCCCGAAAAACCUAGGUGUGGAUGCAAGUGGGUCCGGCUGAACAAAGUCCGGCUCCAUGCCGCACGCGAACCGGCAUUUUCUAGUCAGGCGGUGAACCGUGAAUCGCUUCGCUGGCUUGUUUUUGGUUGGGGUUGAUUGAAUUGGACAUUCUUGACCAGGAAUAAAUUAGAUCUGAUUUACAUGACUUAGCUAGAAUUGGCUCAUCUAAAUCUAAGCCAGAUGACUGAUUUGCUGUUUAUAUGGGUUGGAUUUCAGGUAUGAAUCAAUG